Molecule: ribosomal RNA, 476 nt
Filed under: uncultured bacterium
Lineage: Bacteria
Description: bacterial SSU rRNA
Rfam family: Bacterial small subunit ribosomal RNA
Source: RNAcentral
GACGAACGCUGGCGGCGUGCCUAACACAUGCAAGUCAACUUGACUGAAGGAGCAAUCUGACAGUAGAGUGGCGCAAGGGUGCGUAACGCGUAAGUAACUUGCCCAAGGUAAGGAAUAACGUCGAGAAAUCGGCGCUAAUACCUCAUAAUGCAGCGGAUCCGCAUGGAUAUGUUGUUAAAGGUUUACCGCCUUGGGAUAGGCUUGCGUCUGAUUAGCUAGUUGGUGUGGUAACGGCACACCAAGGCUACGAUCAGUAACUGGUCUGAGAGGAUGAUCAGUCACACUGGAACUGAGACACGGUCCAGACUCCUACGGGAGGCAGCAGUGAGGAAUAUUGGGCAAUGCUCGAAAGAGUGACCCAGCAACGCCGCGUGGAGGAUGAAGGUAUUCUAUAUCGUAAACUCCUGUGAGAGCAGACGAAGACAGAUUAUAAUCUGGAUGACUGUAUGCUCAGAGGAAGCCCCGGCUAACUACGU